RNAcentral lists this transfer RNA (77 nucleotides) under Vibrio cholerae. RNAcentral's name for it is "tRNA-Met". It matches the Rfam family "tRNA". Rfam says of the family: Transfer RNA (tRNA) molecules are approximately 80 nucleotides in length. Their secondary structure includes four short double-helical elements and three loops (D, anti-codon, and T loops). Lineage: Bacteria; Pseudomonadati; Pseudomonadota; Gammaproteobacteria; Vibrionales; Vibrionaceae. The record is from RNAcentral.
GGCUACGUAGCUCAGUUGGUUAGAGCACAUCACUCAUAAUGUUUGGGUCACAGGUUCGAAUCGCGUCGUAGCCACCA